This 610-nucleotide ribosomal RNA is filed under the name uncultured bacterium. Its description in RNAcentral is "bacterial SSU rRNA". It matches the Rfam family "Bacterial small subunit ribosomal RNA", at positions 240 to 863 of the family's 1533-position model. The record is from RNAcentral.
AUUAGAUAGUUGGUGAGGUAAGGGCUCACCAAGUCGACGAUCGGUAGCCGACCUGAGAGGGUGAUCGGCCACAUUGGAACUGAGAUACGGUCCAAACUCCUACGGGAGGCAGCAGUGGGGAAUAUUGGGCAAUGGGCGAAAGCCUGACCCAGCAACGCCGCGUGAGGGAAGACGGUUUUCGGAUUGUAAACCUCUGUCCUCGGGGAAGAAGGAAGUGACGGUACCCGAGGAGGAAGCCCCGGCUAACUACGUGCCAGCAGCCGCGGUAAUACGUAGGGGGCGAGCGUUGUCCGGAAUGACUGGGCGUAAAGGGCGCGUAGGCGGUCAAAUAAGUCCGGAGUGAAAGUCCUGCUUUCAAGGUGGGAAUUGCUUUGGAUACUGUAUGACUUGAGUGCGGAAGAGGUAAGUGGAAUUCCCAGUGUAGCGGUGAAAUGCGUAGAGAUUGGGAGGAACACCAGUGGCGAAGGCGACUUACUGGGCCGUAACUGACGCUGAGGCGCGAAAGCGUGGGGAGCGAACAGGAUUAGAUACCCUGGUAGUCCACGCCGUAAACGAUGAGUGCUAGGUGUAGGGGGUAUCGACCCCUCCUGUGCCGUAGUAAACACAAUAA